AGUGAACGCUGGCGGUAGGCCUAACACAUGCAAGUCGAACGGCAGCACAGUAAGAGCUUGCUCUUACGGGUGGCGAGUGGCGGACGGGUGAGGAAUACAUCGGAAUCUACUUUUUCGUGGGGGAUAACGUAGGGAAACUUACGCUAAUACCGCAUACGACCUACGGGUGAAAGCAGGGGAUCUUCGGACCUUGCGCGAUUGAAUGAGCCGAUGUCGGAUUAGCUAGUUGGCGGGGUAAAGGCCCACCAAGGCGACGAUCCGUAGCUGGUCUGAGAGGAUGAUCAGCCACACUGGAACUGAGACACGGGCCAGACUCCUACGGGAGGCAGCAGUGGGGAAUAUUGGACAAUGGGCGCAAGCCUGAUCCAGCCAUGCCGCGUGAGUGAAGAAGGCCUUCGGGUUGUAAAGCUCUUUUGUUGGGAAAGAAAAGCAACAGGCUAAUACCCCGCGGGUCUGACGGUACCCGAAGAAUAAGCACCGGCUAACUUCGUG
RNAcentral lists this ribosomal RNA (492 nucleotides) under uncultured bacterium. RNAcentral's name for it is "partial 16S ribosomal RNA". It matches the Rfam family "Bacterial small subunit ribosomal RNA", at positions 29 to 507 of the family's 1533-position model. The record is from RNAcentral.